This is a long non-coding RNA of Marmota monax (woodchuck), 1164 nucleotides long. RefSeq lists it as uncharacterized. The record is from RefSeq and is a predicted model, not a curated record. NCBI's taxonomy places the organism in Eukaryota, Metazoa, Chordata, Mammalia, Rodentia, Sciuridae. The transcript has 2 exons.
CAGUGCACGUCGCCCUGCCCAGCCCGGGGCCUCUCCUGUGCGUCUCGCGCCCGGGCGCGUCCCUUCUGUUCGCGCGCCUCCUCAGCGCGCGUUCGGCUCGCUGAGAGGCCGGGAUUUUGAAGGAAGUGCUGUGGGAGCACAGGUGGAAGAAGGAGCUCAGUUUGUCAUCUGUAUCCAGGAAACCAGGAGGUGACUGUGAGCCAGAUUUUGAAGGAUGAGCACGUGUUUUGCUGGCUUAAGAAGAGGAAAACAGCAUUCCUGGCAUAUACAAGAGCACAUGUACAGCCAGCUAAGGAUGCACCACGCCUUCCCUGCGCACUUUUGCUGUUGUCAGUCUAUUUGAAUACUGGAUUUUGAUUUGUUUUCCUGAGACACUGAUGUUAUCAUGUCACUCCUUGACUCCAAAAUUUACAACAUCUGCUGUUGUCAGUUAGAUAAAGGUCAAAUUCUUCAACUUGCCACUCAGAAUUCUAUAUUUUUAUUUCACUAUGAAAAUACUGAAAGUGAAUCCCCAAAGUCUCUUUCUACCUUUUAAAAUGUAAUAAACGAAAAGUGAUUUAAGAGUAAUAGUGUAAUUUUAACCUUGAAUUAAACUCCCUGACAGGGAAGAUAACUCCUUGAUCUCCCCAUGCUACUGAAUUAUAGAACACAGAGGAUAGUUGUCACACUCAAUAAUGUGUUAGCCUGUUGUAGGUACACAGCAAAGGAAACAUUGUUUUGGAGUAAGAAAUAUUUUGGAUAGGUCUCCUCACAGUUCUAAGUCAUUCCAUAGUGGAAUUUGUUGGAAGUGUGAGAGCCUCCAAUUCCAGUCAAGAGAGGGUUCCAUGUAGCUACACAAUAGAAUAGACCUGGUCACAUAUAGCCACAUAGCACUUGAAAUGUGGCUAGUCAGCUGAGGAACUGAAUAUUUUUAGCUAAUUUAAGUUUAAAAUAUAAAAUGGUUUUCUGUAUUCAUAGCUUUAUUGUUUUGGAAGGACUACAUUUCACUUUAACCUUUGAAAAUUUAGCAUCUGACUUGAGAUGUAUACUGAGUGUAAACAACAUUACCACAUUUCAAAAACUUAGGCUGAAAAAAGUAAAAUUUCUCAGUGUAUUUUCAUAGUGAUUACAUAUUGAAAUAAUAGUUUGGAUAUUUUGGUUUAAAUAAAACAGUGUUAAAAUUAA